RNAcentral lists this ribosomal RNA (471 nucleotides) under uncultured bacterium. RNAcentral describes it as "partial 16S ribosomal RNA". It matches the Rfam family "Bacterial small subunit ribosomal RNA", at positions 28 to 507 of the family's 1533-position model. The record is from RNAcentral.
GACGAACGCUGGCGGCGUGCUUAACACAUGCAAGUCGAACGAUGAAGCGGUGCUUGCACCGUGGAUUAGUGGCGAACGGGUGAGUAAUACGUGAGUGACCUACCUUUGACUCUGGGAUAAGCCUGGGAAACUGGGUCUAAUACCGGAUACGACCAAUCUCUGCAUGGGGUGUUGGUGGAAAGCGUUAUGGAGUGGUUUUAGAUGGGCUCACGGCCUAUCAGCUUGUUGGUGAGGUAAUGGCUUACCAAGGCGACGACGGGUAGCCGGCCUGAGAGGGUGACCGGCCACCCUGGGACUGAGACACGGCCCAGACUCCUACGGGAGGCAGCAGUGGGGAAUAUUGCACAAUGGGCGCAAGCCUGAUGCAGCGACGCCGCGUGAGGGAUGACGGCCUUCGGGUUGUAAACCUCUGUUAGCAUCGAAGAAGCGAAAGUGACGGUAGGUGCAGAGAAAGCGCCGGCUAACUACGUG